AUACGGAGGGUGCGAGCGUUGUUCGGAAUUAUUGGGCGUAAAGAGCAUGUAGGCGGUCUGUUAAGUCUGGUGUGAAAGCCCGGGGCUCAACCCCGGACGUGCAUUGGAUACUGGCAGACUUGAGUAUGGGAGAGGAAAGCGGAAUUCCGAGUGUAGGAGUGAAAUCCGUAGAUAUUCGGAGGAACACCAGUGGCGAAGGCGGCUUUCUGGACCAAUACUGACGCUGAGAUGCGAAAGCGUGGGGAGCAAACAGGAUUAGAAACCCCGGUAGUCC
This 274-nucleotide ribosomal RNA is filed under the name uncultured bacterium. Its description in RNAcentral is "partial 16S ribosomal RNA". It matches the Rfam family "Bacterial small subunit ribosomal RNA", at positions 523 to 796 of the family's 1533-position model. The record is from RNAcentral.